Strigops habroptila (Kakapo) is the source of this 4151-nucleotide long non-coding RNA. The record is from Ensembl. Lineage: Eukaryota; Metazoa; Chordata; Aves; Psittaciformes; Psittacidae.
UUUUUUUGUUUUUUUAGUAAGUGCCCAUUAGACAAAUGCAGUAGGUUUUCUUUAGUUGGAGUAUGUGAUAAAAAAAUAUUUCCACUGGAGAGGACAUGCAGUGUGGAAUUCAUCUUUUUAUGUGGCACAGACUUUUUUCAUGUGUUUAAACUUAGAACAGUGUGAUCAGUUUGCUGUGACUGCAUUUAUGUUAAAAUUGUAGGGAUAGCAAAUAGCACUAUUCAUGUUAAAAACUAGAUUGUUAGAUGCUAAAAACAAUUAUGACCCUCUUGAAAUAAUGCAUUUGCCUCAAACACUGUGAUAUAGGAACAGUUCUGUGAAGUGGAAGAAUUAAUUCAAUUAAUUUAUUCAUUCUAAACACAGAAAAGGCUUUCUGCACACUACCACAAGAAAGCUCAUGUUCAAACUUUAGGUUAUGUAUCCCAAUCUAGCAAAGGCACAUCAUAACUCUUGUUUUGCUUUCUGACCAAAAACUGUGCUCGAUUGUAAUACGGGUGUAUACUCUGUCAAAAACCCUAAAAUAAUGGACUGCUUUCUAGGGUAGAUCAAACUGAUUUGUAGAGUAGUUUCAUAUAUAUAUUCAAAAUUCAGGUUGGGCUGUUAUGUGAAGAAGAAAGAACUUCAAGGUAACAACAUUCAACUUUACUACAUUUAGUGAGCUGAAAAAUUUGUUUUAUAUAUAUAUAUAUUUACACACACGUAUAUAUAUAUAUGAUACAUAUAAACUAUCUUUGUAAAAAAACAAAAAAAUAUGCAAGUGCAAUAAUUUAAAGAGGUCUUAACUUUGCAUUUAUAAAUUAUAAAUACUGUACAUGGUGUGUAAUUUUUUUCAUGUAUUCAUUUGCAGUCUUUGUAUUUAAAAAACAAACCUAAACCUUUACUAUUACGUUUGUACAAUAGAACAGUAAGCAUUUAUUAUGAUAUAGUUACGUUGUAAAUAAAUUCACAAACCAAACAGCCAGUACAUAUGCAUAUAUGGGUGUCCUAUUGUGAAGCCUGUUUUUGCUUUUACUGCUGGCUUUAGCACAGCAAGACUACUUCUGUGGAUAUGUAAUUAUACAUAUAAAUAUAUGUAUGAUACAUAAAAUAUAUUUAGAAAUGUUCAUAAUUUUAAUGGAUAUAUCUAUACAUAUACUUUGGUGUGAAUAUUACUGAAUACAGAGGUUUUUAAUAUUAUUUUUCAUGUUUAUUUUGCUAUUAUUGGGAGUGGAAGUGAGGGAUGGGAAGUGUGUGUGUGUAUUAUGUGUGUUUAUACCACAAGUAAACCACAGGAGAAAGGGAUUCAAAACAUAAUGGAGUCCUUUAAAAAGAUAGUGCCUGUAAUUGCAAUUUACUGCUUAUGGUGUGUUUUCCCAACAUAAUUUUUUUUCUUUUUUUUUUUUAUUACUUAUUGCAAAUUCACGUUGUCACAGACUGCAAAGGAAUCCACUUUGCUGUUUGCCCUCCUGCUCUCAGAGAGCUUACCUUGCUGUUGACAGCUACUUCCACACAGAUCCUUGCUUUGCCAAUGUCAAAUGGCAAGGCAGCUAAUGCGGAAUCAUUUGCUACCUUUUGGAAUCAUGGAGAUCCUGAGAUACUGAAUUGUAGAAAAAUAAUCCUGCACCCAAAUCUUUAAGGUUUGCUAGUCCAAAGUGAUAUAAGGCUUUGAUAGCUCCCAAUAUCCUGAAAAUACAAGGUAGGUUGAGGGAACUAUAAAGCAAAAUUCUGAACAACGUAUUAGCAGAUAUUUAUAAAAUAGGAGGAAAAAAAUGAGGAAAGAAGUGUCUGUGUGCUUAUCUACCUAAUAUAUUGAUUUGCUUCAAAGAUCUCUCACACUGUUCAUGCUUGGUAAACAGGGUAUUGGCCAGGGUGGCCUUGUGUCUUUAUAUGACUCUUCAUGACCCUUCUGUUCUCAAAGAUGUUGAGCCUGGGAUAGAGUUCAACCUGGGCUCUGUCUCUAGUUACUCACUAUGGCCUCCAAAUUUCCCUGGUCUGCCUCUUCACUGAAGGAAUGCAGCAUUGCUAGGAUGACUUGACCAGAAACAAGUUUCCAGGGCAACUGGUUCAGUUUAACUACUGCAUGCAGUUGUCAAAUACAAUUAUUACAAAAUAUACCUGGGUCUGUGCUGUUGUGACCAGCCCACCCAGAAAGCUCCAUUUGCUGCAAGGGAUGUGCUGCUAGGGCUAACUUUAGUGAUGAAAUGGAAACUGCACUGACUUCUAAUGCAUUUUUUAGGAUUUAUUCAUUUAAGUUAAAACUUCCCAAAUUAUUUUGAGGGACGAGCAAUAGAACAGGAAUGUUUUUGUGAAUGCUAUUAAUUUGGUCCUUUCCACCUGUUUCUGUAUUGUUGGCAAGGAGCUGUAGGCUGAAGUCGAUUAAUGACUCUCUGAUCAAACUUUUCAAAUUGGUCACAGUCAGUCACAUACCUUUUUAUAUUUUUCUGCUUGACAUGCUCUUGUAGCACACCACAGUGCUUUGCCAUUGAUGGUCACUGCCUAGUCAAUAUGUUUCCUUAACAUUUUUAGUACUUUGUUAUUGAAAAGUGCCACCAGAGACUUAAAAAAAAAUCAACCCUUAAAUAUAUUCCUAUUUUUUGAAGAUAUAAAUGAAAAAGGACCUUAACUGAAGCUCAUCGAAGUUUGGGGAGGAAAGGAGUAUUUCUCUUGGUUUUGAGGACUUUUAAUUUAGGCUUGUUUGAAAGUAUCCAAGUGCUCUGUAAGAUGAAGUGCUCAUUUGAGUCAGUUGAAAAGGACAGAGACUUCAAUGGAUUUCACCUGCUCAACAGCUGUUGGAGGUUACCAUAUUAUACUUAUUUUGCUUAAGACAAUUACUAAGGAGAAAUUCCUCUUCUUCAAUAUGUAGUCCCUCCUCCUUGAAUUAGGAAGAAAACUUUAUUUCAGUGUGUUUCAGUAGUGCUCUAGAAAAACCUACCUGCACUGUGCACGUUGCUUAAGAAGAUGAAGGUCUUUGCCUCUGCGUCAAGGAAGAGUUGCAGAGCAAUGCUUCAGAAGGUGGUUGGUAUGUGUGCAUGAGACUUGUUGUUUAAAAGUCUUCUAAAAUAAAGGGGAAACCUGAGACUCAAGAACUUUGGAAAGAAUGAAUUAUACCAGGUAAAGUUUUCCUUUGAUGUUCUUUUGGUUUGUAACAUUGCUGGAAUGAUUGAAUGGUUUUCACCAUAGUGUCUGUUAACUGACAUUAAUUAUUCAGCUGGCAUUAAUUACUUUUUACAGCAAUGUAAACAUUGUGAAUAUAGGUGAGAUGUUUGUAAAGCUACUUCUGUUUCUUGAGCUGUAUUUAUGCUGCUUAUGGAAGCAGCGUAAGUCCUUAAUAAAUACUAUUUAAUAUGCAUAUGGAAAUGAAAAAAUAGGGCUUGCGGGGGGAGGGGGGGGGGAAGCCAAAAAAGAAACUUUUGGAAGCACCUCAUUGAGUCAGGAUCUGUUAGAAGCCUUUGAAAAUUUUGCCAUCAAUGUCAGUAGCAGUGGUGGAUGUGGUGCUGUGCUGAAUAUGCGUAGUUUGGAGUUCAUGCUGGUGGACAAGUUGAUCAUAAAGAAAAGAAAGUGGUAUGGUAACUAAUGCUAGUUUUCAACUAGUAAAGUCCAAGUUUUUUUCUGCUGCUCACCUGGGGAGAAAAUAUAUGUAUUCAGUAUCAGGCGUAUUUUACAUCCCGUGACAAAAAAACCCCACCUUAUUGAAAAAGUGAUUGGUCUGGGAAAGAGACCACUGACAUGUGCCUUUCCUCUUAACAUGAAAAUGCACUGAAGCUGUCAGAAUAGUAUUUACAAUACAUUUGGAAAGACAGUGGACAUCUGUUAAGAUGCUACUUACGGGUUUGAGGGCACAAAGUGACAGAUUUCCAUUAUAACCUUGUGCAAGUUGCCCAGCACUGGAUGUUUUUGGGUUUUGUUAACUUAUGCAAGCCUCUAAACAAUUUCUAUGUUAUGCAUGUUUGGAAAUAUCCCUCCAGAAUUCUAAAUACAUGUAGAGGCAGUCAGGUAGUCACCUUAUAAUACGUAUGAUGGUGUUCACUUUCCUAUCAGGUGAGGACAAAUAUCACAGAGCUGUGAUGCUGCUAGUGAGUACUGUGGAUGAGUACCUCCUUUUCCAUCAUCUCCAAAUGUAAGGGGACAGUUAAGAAAUUACAGUGUGAACUUUCAAGCUAUCAUAUGUAGUU